This 667-nucleotide ribosomal RNA is filed under the name uncultured fungus. RNAcentral describes it as "eukaryotic LSU rRNA". The stretch from base 270 to 423 matches the Rfam family "5.8S ribosomal RNA". The record is from RNAcentral. Lineage: Eukaryota; Fungi.
GAGUCGUAACAAGGUUUCCGUAGGUGAACCUGCGGAAGGAUCAUUAACGAGUUUUGAAGUGGGUUUGAUGCUGGCUUUAUAAAGGCAUGUGCUCACCCUGCUCCAUCCACUCUACACCUGUGCACCUUUUGAGGCAUAGCCCCUCCAAUUUUGGAGCCGUUCCCCACCGUGAUUAAUUUCGCAGGUGGGUUGAGCCGGGGCUUUGCUCUCUACCUUUUACACACCCCAUUACAAAGUUUUGUAGAAUGUUGACCCCAAUAAAUUAAUACAACUUUCAACAACGGAUCUCUUGGCUCUCGCAUCGAUGAAGAACGCAGCGAAAUGCGAUAAGUAAUGUGAAUUGCAGAAUUCAGUGAAUCAUCGAAUCUUUGAAUGCACCUUGCGCUCCUUGGUAUUCUGAGGAGCAUGCCUGUUUGAGUGUCAUUAAUAUAUCAACCUCUUCAGCUUUUGCUUGUUGAGUGUUGGAUGUGGGGGUCUCUUUUGCUGGUCUUCUUGUGAGGUCAGCUCCCCUAAAAUGUAUUAGCGGAACAAUUUGUUGACCGUUCAUUGGUGUGAUAAUUAUCUACGCUAUUGCCGUGAAGCAGAGUUCAGCUUCUAAUAGUCCAUUGACUUGGACAAUUUUCAUUAAUGUGACCUCAAAUCANGUAGGACUACCCGCUGAACUUAA